ACUGUUAAUGCGGCCAUAUUUUUCUAUACAAUAACGUAUGGCGGUCUCAAGCCCGAUAACGUAGAGAGCAGU
RNAcentral lists this non-coding RNA (72 nucleotides) under Nasonia vitripennis (jewel wasp). The record is from RNAcentral. Lineage: Eukaryota; Metazoa; Arthropoda; Insecta; Hymenoptera; Pteromalidae.